GAAAUGCGAUAAGUAAUGUGAAUUGCAGAAUUCAGUGAAUCAUCGAAUCUUUGAACGCAUCUUGCGCUCCUUGGUAUUCAUUGGAGCAUGCCUGUUUGAGUAUCAUGAAAUCUUCAAAGUAAAUCUUUUGUUAACUCAAUUGGUUUCUACUUUGGUAUUGGAGGUCUUUGCAGCUUCACACCUGCUCCUCUUUGUUCAUUAGCUGGAUCUCAGUGUUAUGCUUGGUUCCACUCGGCGUGAUAAGUUAUCUAUCGCUGAGGACACUGUAAAAGGUGGCCAAGGUAAAUGCAGAUGAACCGCUUCUAAUAGUCCAUUGACUUGGACAAUACUUUUAUGAUCUGAUCUCAAAUCAGGUAGGACUACCCGCUUAACUUAAGC
This 378-nucleotide unclassified non-coding RNA is filed under the name plant metagenome. Its description in RNAcentral is "partial contains 5.8S ribosomal RNA, internal transcribed spacer 2, and large subunit ribosomal RNA". The stretch from base 1 to 105 matches the Rfam family "5.8S ribosomal RNA", at positions 50 to 154 of the family's 154-position model. The record is from RNAcentral.